Molecule: ribosomal RNA, 401 nt
Filed under: uncultured bacterium
Lineage: Bacteria
Description: bacterial SSU rRNA
Rfam family: Bacterial small subunit ribosomal RNA
Source: RNAcentral
GAAUCUUCCACAAUGGACGAAAGUCUGAUGGAGCAACGCCGCGUGCAGGAUGACGGCCUUCGGGUUGUAAACUGCUUUUAUGGAUGAAGAAUAUGACAGUAGUCCAAGGAUAAGGGACGGCUAACUACGUGCCAGCAGCCGCGGUCAUACGUAGGUCCCAAGCGUUAUCCGGAAUUACUGGGCGUAAAGAGUUGCGUAGGUGGUUUAUUAAGCAGAGUAUGAAAUAUCACGGCUCAACCGUGGAACCGUAUUCUGAACUGAUUAACUAGAGGGCGAGAGAGGUUACUAGAAUUUCUUGUGUAGGAGUGAAAUCCGUAGAUAUAAGAAGGAAUACCGAUGGCGUAGGCAGGUAACUGGCUCGCACCUGACACUAAGGCACGAAAGCGUGGGUAGCAAACGGG